Molecule: ribosomal RNA, 253 nt
Filed under: uncultured bacterium
Lineage: Bacteria
Description: partial 16S ribosomal RNA
Rfam family: Bacterial small subunit ribosomal RNA
Source: RNAcentral
UACGAAGGGGGCUAGCGUUGCUCGGAAUCACUGGGCGUAAAGGGUGCGUAGGCGGGUCUUUAAGUCAGGGGUGAAAUCCUGGAGCUCAACUCCGGAACUGCCUUCGAUACUGAGAGUCUCGAGUCCGGGAGAGGUGAGUGGAACUGCGAGUGUAGAGGUGAAAUUCGUAGAUAUUCGCAAGAACACCAGUGGCGAAGGCGGCUCACUGGCCCGGUACUGACGCUGAGACGCGAAAGCGUGGGGAGCGAACAGG